GGAGGAACGGGCGCGUGCGGCUGGACGUUCGGCCGGCGCGCUCCCCGCGUGCGCGUUCACUAGGCAGCCAGAGCUAGAGCGCGCCCUCAGCCGGGUUACCUUGGCUUCCCUUAACAAUGAGCCGGCUAUCUUUGCGCCGGCUCCGAGGUAACGCGGUUCUUCCCUGCAAGAGAGGGAACAGGAGCGGCAGUCACGUGGUCCGGCCGGCGUCGCCGCCAUCUUGUGGUUGUUCUUAUUCUAUUCUUGUGCUCUUUGCUUGGAAGAAUGAGGGUGCGGCCCUGACAGGAUUCGAUCUUGAGUUCAAAGAAAUCCUCCUGCCUCAGCCUUGACGUCCCUCAACUGAAGAAUGGAUAAGGAAAAUGUGGUACAUCUAUGCAGGUAUUAAAAACCAAAGACAUCAUCAGUUCUGCAGACAAAUGAGUGGAGCUUGAGAAUAUCAUUCUGCAUAAGUUAACUCAGAGCCGGAAAGACAGGUAAGGUAUGUACAUACUUACAAGUGGUCAUUAGCCACGAAGUUCAGGGUAACCAUGCUACAAACCACAAACUAUUAAUAUGUUUUAAAUGCCUAUAUUCAUAACUUUGUUGUCUUACAGUAGGUUAAACACCUUUAUGAUACACAUAGUGCCUAGGAACAAUGACAUUGUCUUCAACAAAUCUAUUUUACUAGGUCAUGGUCAUUAAUAUUGACUCCAGAAUUUUUCUUUUUAAAUAUAAAGUAGCCUCCAGAGAUCAUGAGUUUGAACACUGGAUUCUAACCUAGCAAUGCUGCUUUGCAUUUAUGCAAACUUUAUUUUUUUAAAAAAGCUUCAUUUAUUUAUCCCAUGUAUGUGAGUACACUGUCACUGUCUUUGGACAGACCAGAAGAUGGCAUCGGAUCCCCAUUACAGAUGGUUGUGAGCCACCAUGUGGUUGCUGGGAAUGGAAUUCAGGUCCUUUGGAAGAGCAGUCAGUGCUCUUAACCACUGAGCCAUCUCUCCAGCCCUUGUGCAAACUUUAGAAAAUGAAGCUUCCUCUGAAAAUUGGAUUGUUAUGGAGAACUCAAAGUUUAGAAGUGUUGGAAAUUCCUAUUUGCAAUGCAAUUCUUGAUGUCUAUGCCAAAUGUUGAGCUGUACUCACAACACUGUUCCCAGUUCUUUCCCACCAUAAUGGAGUAUUUCCCUUCUAAGUGUAAGCUAGUAUAUAUGUUUCUCACCGCACCUUGUAAAUGUUCACCCAACUCAGUGCCAGCUAUCAGCUUAUACCCAACUGUUUAGUUUUAUGAUUCUGAUGAAACUGUAGUUGUAAACAGAUGUGAGCUCUUCUGUGGGUGCUAAGAAUGGAACCUAGGUUUACAAAUGCUGCUAUUAACCACAGAUUUCUCUCUCCAGCCCCUUGAAAUCGUUCUUGGGAGGCAGGCAGCACUGUGUCUUUUCAAAGAAGGCCUCCUGUGCCCCGGGUUUGGGCAGGCCUCCUGGGAGUCAGGCUGUGAAUGGAAGAGUACUCUCUCUGAGGCAAAGAGGCCUCUGAGUUGGGGAAGAACUCUGUAAUGGGGGAUCUGGAGGAGGAGCAACAUUUGGGAUGUAAAUAAAUAAAACAAUUAAUAAAAUAAAAUAAAGACAUCCUAAUAUAAAAUAUUUAAACUGGCAAAUGUUUUCAUAUGUUCUCACUAAUUGGGUUAUUUAUUUGCUUUGUUAAUUUCAUACAUUUAGAAAUGUUGGAAUGUAUACACCUAUGCUAUGGCAUCUAUGUGGUAGUGAGAGAACAACUUAUUGCUGUCUAUUAUCUAUUUUCUCUAUGUGAGCUCUAGACAUAAAACUCAGGGAGUCCUCUGGUUCCAGUGACCUCAUUGGUCCUUGCCCCGUGCUAUCUCGCCAGCAAGAACACGCGGGGACACAUGAAUUCUUCUGCAGCUUAAAUGUUUAUUGUAUCUUAAAGAGAGGGCCGGGGCGCCGGCAUGGCGGGGCUUAUAUACACCCUAGCGCGGCGCAUCCACAUCUGAUUGGUCACUUACCCAUGAUCUCAUUAGGCACGCCCCGGAGUGGGCAAAGACCUGGCACGAAGGCACUCUUGCACAUGCGCACACAGUUAACUUCCUGAAAGGAAGUCGGCUGGCGCGGCGGAGGCCAGCGCCAUCUUGUAAUGGCAAAAGCUAUCCCGGCUUUCCACGUGGGGCACAGUGGAAGCCAGCGCCAUCUUGUGGUGGUGAAUGUUAUUGCGGCUCUCCACAGGUCCUUACUUGGGUUUAAAAAUCAUUUAUGUAUGUGCUGGUGUGUAUUGUGUAUAUGCCACAGCCCAAGUGUUAAAAGAAGAGAAAAAUUUGUAGGAAUAAGAUGGGCAUUUCAGGGAUUGAACUCAGAUUAUUAGGUUUAGCAACAACCAACUUUACCUACGGAGAUAAUUCUCUGGCAUUCAUUUGUAGUUCUGAGAAAGUGUUAUGAGCAAAUGUUUACUCAGAAUAAAUUAACAAAUUAAAAAAAAAACAGUAGUCUGGGUUCGGUCCCCAGCUCCAAAAAAAAAAAAAAAAAAAAGAACCAAAAAAAAAAAAAAACAGUAGUGUUGGUAUUCUGUCUAAGCUCCACCCCACAGUUGCCUGGCAACAGCCAGUUGUGCCUGACUAUAAAGGGGGCUACUUGCCCUCUCCUCUCCCUCUUGCUCAUUGCUUUUCUCUUCUCUGAUCUCAUGCCUUCUUCCCCUUCAUCCCUUCUCUCCCCAUCCCCCCUUCCCUCCACGUGCCCAUGGCUGGCCUCCUUUACUCCUCCCCUCUUCUACUCUUCUUCUCUCAUUAAACUUCUCCACAUGGAACCAUGUUGGCUUGGUGUGUUCUGUCUGGAUGUGAGCCGAGAUUUAAAUCCCAACAAGUUGUAUAUUGAAGGAUUAAAAAUUAAUAAUAAGCCGCCUAGCUACCCAAAAAGAAGAGGUAGGGUCUGUGAGAACAUGAACUUUUCGCCCCUCCCUUGCUGUACAAUGGUUCCCGGAACAUUCUUGCAUGAAAGGUUUCCUGGAACAGCCACAAUGACCCAUAGCCUCCGGCCACAAUGGUCCAAUGGCCCUGUAAAAUGUCACUACCCCUAAUCACAAUGUCACAAAGUCCUAAAUUGUAUGGGCAGUUUAUGGUUUUGGAAUUCCCCUCCUCCCUCCCUCUUGAUCCCCCUGGUUUGUGGUUUUUUCCUUUAUAAGCUCUGUGAAAAUUCAGGUCGGGGUCGAACUCCUCUACUCCCUGUGUGGCGUAUGAGUCUCGACCCCAGCAUGCUGGCCUGAGCUCUCGUUUCAUCUCGCUCACAAUAAAUCUUCCUCGUGUGAUUACAGCAGGUCGGUGUCUGUGUCCUACUGGGUGCGCGUCUUUCCCGAGACUUGAGUGGGGGGCUCCCUUCGGGGGUCUUUCAUUUGGGGGCUCGUCCGGGAUCUGCGCGACCACCCAGGGGUCCUAGACCCACUUGGAGGUAAGAUUCUCUGUUUUAUCUCAGCGCUGUGUCUGGGUCUGUGUCUAUGUUCUGUCUGGGAAUCUGGUGCGAUCGCUGUUUCGGUUUUGCGGACGCUCAGUGAGACCGCGCUCCAGGAAGGAGAGCGGGGUGGAUAGGGAUAGACGUGUCCAGGUACCCACCGUCCGUUCGCCCUGGGAGACGUCCCAGGAGGACAAGGGGGGACCAGGGACGCCUGGUGAACCCCAUCUGAUAGGUCCAGAGGAGACUUUACUCCUUGACGACCGGUUUGUUAGGCAAGGUCUGCGACCUGCCGAUCAGUUUCAGUGCCUCUGGUCGACACGAAGUCGACGUCGGUUUUGUUUUUGUUUUUUUUUUUCUCUUUUGUUUGUGCUCAUGUGUGUGAGUGUGUGUGAAUUAAGUCCUGUAGUCUGUGUUUUUCGGUACCGGUUUAAGGUCUUAGUGCACUGUCUGGGCAGAUGAAGGAUUCCUGCCCUGUGCACGAGAGUCUUAGUGCACUGUCUGGGCAGAAGAAGGUUUCCUGCCCUGUGCACGGGUGGAAGAAGGUUCCCCACCCCGAAAUGGCGCCUGUGAGUAGAUGAAGGAUUCCUACUCCGAAUAGUCUUUUUCUUUCUUUUUUUCCUUUUUAGAAAGCGCACCGGGGGACGCCCCAAUCGCGCAGGCUCUGGGACUCGUGAGAGACGUUCCACGAGUCAGCCUUUGUUGGGUCCUGGCUCUGGGACGCGUGAGAAACGUUCCUCGAGCCGAAUUUUGUCGGGAGGACCCGGCAACGGACAGUCAAAAAGAUCUGACUGUGACUUUGGAGGUCGAGUUCGGCUGCCUAUUUAAGUAUAGGCACGGACAAGUGUGCUUAGAUGUGUUAGUGUCUGUUGUCUGUAUUCUGUUUCUGUGUUUGGUAUCCCAGAAGCAGCUAAGGUUAAGCUGCAGUUUGGGCCAGGUACUGAAGGUACCAGGCAUCUGUGGAAAUUGGUUAUAGGAUGCUUUGUCUUGGUCUUGUUUGUCUGGAUUGUUUUCUGUGGUAUUGUCCAGUGUUUUUUUGACUUUUGUUUCGUGUUUGAAUUUGGACUGACGACCGUGUUUAAAAUCUUGGACUGACGACUGUGUUUGAAAUCAUGAAACUGUUUGCUUUGUUCGUCGAAGAGUUUUACUUGGUCCCCUUAAUGCUUAGUAAGAAACUUAAUCUUAUGGACCCCGCUCUAGUGGCGGUGUGUUGGUUGAUAGCCAAAGUUAAUUUUUAAAAUAGUGUUUUAUCUGUGCUUGUGCUCGCAGCACACAGUAGAGGGGAGCGAAAUUAGCUGCGGAGCUGCUGCAGCGAGCAUGGGGACUUCUCAAGUCUCACCCAAUUUUUCUGGCUCUUCAGGAGCUGUUUAAAAGGAAAAGGCUUAAGGUAAAAAGAAACACUAUAGAGAGAUUUCUUAGUGAAUUACUACACCUUGGUUCGCGAUCUCUGGGAAUCUCAUGGUGGACAGCUGAGAUAAGCUGGAAAAGGAUUUAAAUUUUGCUUGGGAGCAAAGAAUCUUAAAGGUGGAGUUUCAGCCGGUAUGACACUUAGUGCGUAGCUGCCUAAAAGAUCAGAAAUGCUGUUAAUAGGCUAUAAAAAAGGGACAGGCUGUGUUAGAAAUGCUACAGAAGAAUAAUCUAAAAAGGCUGAGAGCUAGGUGGGGCUAUAAGGAAAACAAGAACAGGAAAGGAAUUUCUGACAUUUGCUCACAGAAGGAGAGUGCUCAUUUAGAGAAGUUCUUUAAGGAAGCCUGCCUUAUCUGCUGUCUUUAUUCCAAGGGAGGAGUCAGUCUCCAGCACUAAAUUACUUGGAGGUAGCCAAGGUCAGGAUUAAUGUUUUCUUUUCCAUGGGCCUUUAAACCCAGUGAGACAGUUUGGUAAAGGGCUACUACUGAGGUCCUGAUAGCCCCAGGUGAACUGGUUACAAUUCUUUUAUCAGCCCCCUGGCAUCUAGCACCCAGUUUCUAACCAUCUCUCCAUCCUUUUGUUAUUAGUUGUUACUAGAAGCCUAGUGUCAUUUGGAGGCUGGUUCUCUUGAGAGGCAAAGCCAUGGAGCUGACACUGACAAUGGCCUUUUUGUUCCAAGAAAGGCCUCCUGGUUUAGCUGUGUGACUAAAUGCUGUUUGCCCUCUUCGGUAGACUCUAUUCUCAAGAUUCUCUUGUUUUCUCACCAUCCCAUUUGAUAUGCUUGUUAGUAACUAUUACAGGUCUUCUUUACCACUGAGGAAAGACGGAAUCCUACUGGAGACCAGAAAAAAAUGUUCCAGACACGCAUAGAAGGCCCUCACUUCUGCCUGCUCUCUUCAUACCCCUGAAGGUAGGGAGUGCUCCAGGUCUGCCCCCAGGCUCCAAGGGUGGGUCUCCUAGGGGCUGGAAAGUGCCCCACCAAUCUGGCUAAGAUAAGGAAAAGAUAUGAAGAGAAAGUUACAGAAACUUGAAGGGUUAAGCUAAGUCGCUGAGAGAGUUAUUGUAAGUUGAUGCAUGGUUCAGGGUCUGUGCAGAAAAGUGGACAGCACCUAAUAGCUGUAGAAGAAGAUGCAGAGAGACAGAAAAAAAAGAAAGAAAGAAAGAAAGAGGUAAAGAGUGCAGGAAGCUAGGGAAGAAAAGAGACUAAAAGAAGAGGAAGCUAGAGAGCUAAAGAGAGAUAAAAGACAAGAGAGGAACAUAUACUGGCCACAGUAGUUAGGGAACCUAAGAAGAUAGUACCUGGCAACAGAAGAGAAUUCCUGGCUAAAGAUCAGUGUGCCUAAUACGAAGAAAAAAAAGGACACUGGGUCAGGGACUGCCCAAGAAAGAACAAAAGGGAGGGGCUGGGGAUUUAGCUCAGUGGUAGAGCGCUUACCUAGGAAGCGCAAGGCCCUGGGUUCGAUCCCCAGCUCCGAAAAAAAAAGAACCAAAAAAAAAAAAAAAAAAAAAAAAAAAAAAAAAAGAAAGAACAAAAGGGGCCACUGGAGAGCUUCUUGGUCCUAGAGUGCUGGCUAUGUACAGAGAUAGAAGGGAAGUGUGGAUACAGGGACCCAAUGCUCUGUGCUCCUAUGCUCCAGUGGGCCAGUAUCCAAAGACCUUGGGUACAGGGGCCUACUGGCAACAAACAAUACUUAUGGACUGCCCGAAGAACAGUGGACCUUGGCGUGGGCCGGGUAACCCACUAGUUCAUAGUCAUCCCUGACUGCCCCUAUCCCUUGCUCAUGAGAAAAUUGCUCUCCAAAAUGGCUUGCGUGGGCUGAAAUGGCUGGGUGAGGCCAUGUGUAUGCAUAUCUACAGACUGUGUAUGCGGAGCUUAAGACCUGUCUCAGUGCACCAGUACCUGAUGCUGGGAGAUGAAUGGCUUAGCGCUGUUCUACUUGGAACAUAUCACUCCUGCCAGCCGGGCACUAACAAUUAUCACCCAAUCCAGGACUUAAACUGUGAUAGAGUGGCUGAUGUUCUGCCUUUGAAUAGAGUGUCCCAAAAGAUGGGACCACUGGUCAGCUGCCAUGGACUAGAUUCUCCACCGGUUGGGGACAAUCUGGUCACCUUGCUGCCCAAUCCGGACCUGGAGCCACCACAGCACGAGUGUCAAGCACUGGCAGAAGCCCAUGGGUGGAGGAAAGACCUCUGCGACUGGCUGAUUGACCCCUGCUGAAACCCGAGGACCUUGUCCACAGACGGGAACAGUUCUCUUCAUGAAUGAAGGUCAGAGACAAGUGGGUGCUGCCAUGGUGGACAACACAAUGUCAUCUGGGAUGGCUCAACCCCCCAGUACAUCAGUGCCGCAGAUGCCUUUGCCAUCUCUUGGAUGUCCUGAUGAAGCCAACAACUGUGAGUACUAUUCAUUGCUCAGGAUAUCAGGAGGGAAGAGAUUCAGUGACAUGGGGCAAUAACGAAGCAGAUAAAGUGGCUCGAAAAAUGGUUAUGCAGGAGCCCAUCCUGGUUGCAGGCCUGCAAGAGACAGCCACUGAGAACUAGGAUCGGACUAAGGGAUGGCCUCACUUAGAAAAGGCCCAAAUUGCUUUAAAAAAAAAAGACAAUGGCACACUUGAGGGAAAAGCUAUACUCCCCAGAGAAUAAAGGAAAGACUCACUUUGCCAAAUACAGAAAUGGACUCAUUUAGGAGAUAAAAAGUUUGUCCAAGUAGUUAAGUGUAUGUAAUAGACUUUAAGAUUUUAGCCAGAGAGACAGUAGAAAGUAUAAGGUAUGUCAAUAAGUGAAUGCUUAACAAGCAAACAGGGCAAAGAGACCUAGAGAGUUUGGUGAAAAGUCGAAGUGAACUUCACUGAGAUAAAACCAGAAAAAUAUAAUCACAAGUAUCUCCUAGUGCUUGUAGAUACUUUUUCAGGAAUAGAUAGAAGCUUUCCUCACCAAACAAGAGACGGCCUCUGCAAUCAUCAAGAAGAUACUGGAAGAAAUCUUCCUCCGAUUUGGAAUGCCCAAGGUAAUCUGGUCAGACAACGGCCCUACUUUCGUUGCCAAGGUAAGCCAGGGUGUGGCCAAGUAUUUAGAGGUCGAUUGGAAAUUACAUUGUAUUUACAGACCUCAAAGUUCAGGACAGGUAGGGUAAAUAAAUAGAACUCUAAAAGAGACCCUGACCAAAUUAACCAUGGAGACUGGCACAGACUGGGUGACACUCCUUCCCUCUUGCUCUCUUCAGAGCAAGAAAUACCCCUUCCAGAUUCAGCCUUACCCCCUUUGAGAUCUUAUAUGGGGCCUCAGCCCCCCUGACUGUAUUAGAUGAUGUUACUGAACCAACAUGUCAUAGUGCCAUAGUAAUAAUGAUUUGUGUGCCAGGCUAAAAGACCUACAGGUGAUACAGAAAGAAAUCUGCUCACAGCUGACAGCAGCCUAUGCCCCGGAGACCCCUGAGACAUCCCAUCAGUUCCAGGUUGCAGCUACACUGAGUCCAGACACUCGAGCCUCGCUGGAAAGGACCGUACCUGGUGCUGCUGACCACCCUGACAGCUGUCAAUUCUCAGCCCUCACCAGCCGUGUACUAGCUGUUGGGGCUGAGAGCUGGGACCUAGAGGGAAAUUCAGUCAUGUUUGUCCUGGGUUCUAUCAAGAUAGGUGUGGGAUAGGCUUGAUUUCCAUUACAAAUGAUGUAACAUUGCAUAUGUUAGUACUCUUAACACUUCUUGGGACUGUGCCUCAGGGAUCACAGUCCGUAUAAGCUUAGAAGUUCUAAAAGCUAGUCAUGACCUUGGUGGAUAGGCUUGGAUAGUGUCCAGGUUAGAAUCCUCAUGUUAAGACUACAAUACCAAGCUGUUAUGCUAGAUGAAGCUGAGUUCUCCAUGAAGUUCUAGGAUUAGAACUAUUAACAAAAAGAAGAAGUGGGGAAUGAAGGAUUAAAAAUUAAUAAUAAGCCGCCUAGCUACCCAAAAAGAAGAGGUAGGGUCUGUGAGAACAUGAACUUUUCGCCCCUCCCUUGCUGUACAAUGGUUCCCGGAACAUUCUUGCAUGAAAGGUUUCCUGGAACAGCCACAAUGACCCAUAGCCUCCGGCCACAAUGGUCCAAUGGCCCUGUAAAAUGUCACUACCCCUAAUCACAAUGUCACAAAGUCCUAAAUUGUAUGGGCAGUUUAUGGUUUUGGAAUUCCCCUCCUCCCUCCCUCUUGAUCCCCCUGGUUUGUGGUUUUUUCCUUUAUAAGCUCUGUGAAAAUUCAGGUCGGGGUCGAACUCCUCUACUCCCUGUGUGGCGUAUGAGUCUCGACCCCAGCAUGCUGGCCUGAGCUCUCGUUUCAUCUCGCUCACAAUAAAUCUUCCUCGUGUGAUUACAGCA
Molecule: non-coding RNA, 9173 nt
Organism: Rattus norvegicus (Norway rat)
Lineage: Eukaryota; Metazoa; Chordata; Mammalia; Rodentia; Muridae
Source: RefSeq, a predicted model, not a curated record